UGAAACCUGGGCUGGCCAUAGUGUAGUGCAGUCUCUUUUCAGCUCCUAGUUCUAAGGAGAGGCCUUGUCAUUAUUUUUGUUUCUCUCUGCAUUUCCAGGGAAUUUCAGGCAGAGGAGCUGCAAAACAGGUUUCAGAGUUGCUGCUUUGGCUCCCCUGUGCCAGAGAGAGCCUUCUGCUGUUUGGUGGAGCACAUGGUCCAGAAGAAGCCUCUUGUGGCCCUCACGGGUCCACGUGGCUGCAGAGAACGCACAGGCCUGGGUGCCUGGCAGACGGAGGUGACCAACCUCUGGGAGCAAAGCUCAGUUCUGCACCCCUCAGGGAGCCAGAGGCCUAGCAGAGGCUCUGUAGGUUUUUACCCAGGCCCCUAACCUUCCUGCGGGAGUUCCUGCUCCCUGCUUCACCACCCUCACUUUCUCUCCAGCUGCUGCCCCUCAAAAGGAUCACGGGCACUCUAGGCUGCCCCUAGCCCAUCAGCUGGGUGAGGGGUCCAGCUAGGUGCCAGAGACAGGAAGCAGUCAUGGGAUCCCCCAGGC
Molecule: long non-coding RNA, 534 nt
Filed under: Fukomys damarensis (Damara mole-rat)
Lineage: Eukaryota; Metazoa; Chordata; Mammalia; Rodentia; Bathyergidae
Description: lncRNA (ENSFDAG00000028748.1)
Source: RNAcentral